This 474-nucleotide ribosomal RNA is filed under the name uncultured bacterium. RNAcentral's name for it is "bacterial SSU rRNA". It matches the Rfam family "Bacterial small subunit ribosomal RNA", at positions 8 to 526 of the family's 1533-position model. The record is from RNAcentral.
AGAGUUUGAUCCUGGCUCAGAGCGAACGCUGGCGGCAGGCUUAACACAUGCAAGUCGAGCGGGCGUAGCGAUACGUCAGCGGCAGACGGGAGAGUAACACGUGGGAACGCGCCCUUCGGUUCGGAAUAACUCAGGGAAACUUGAGCUAAUACCGGAUACGCCCUAACGGGGAAAGAUUUAUUGCCGAAGGAACGGCCCGCGUCGGAUUAGCUAGUUGGUGAGGUAAUGGCUCACCAAGGCGACGAUCCGUAGCUGGUCUGAGAGGAUGACCAGCCUCACUGGGACUGAGACACGGCCCAGACUCCUACGGGAGGCAGCAGUGGGGAAUAUUGGACAAUGGGCGCAAGCCUGAUCCAGCCAUGCCGCGUGGAUGAUGAAGGCCCUAGGGUUGUAAAGUCCUUUUAACGGGGAAGAUAAUGACGGUACCCGUAGAAUAAGCCCCGGCUAACUUCGUGCCAGCCGCCGCGGUAAUAC